ACGCUAGCUACAGGCUUAACACAUGCAAGUCGAGGGGAAACGGCAUUAAGUGCUUGCACUUUUUGGACGUCGACCGGCGCACGGGUGAGUAACGCGUAUCCAACCUUCCCAUGACUAAGGGAUAACCUGCCGAAAGGCAGACUAAUACCUUAUGGUCUUCACUGACGGCAUCAGAUGUGAAGUAAAGAUUUAUCGGUUAUGGAUGGGGAUGCGUCUGAUUAGCUUGUUGGCGGGGUAACGGCCCACCAAGGCAACGAUCAGUAGGGGUUCUGAGAGGAAGGUCCCCCACAUUGGAACUGAGACACGGUCCAAACUCCUACGGGAGGCAGCAGUGAGGAAUAUUGGUCAAUGGGCGAGAGCCUGAACCAGCCAAGUAGCGUGCAGGAAGACGGCCCUAUGGGUUGUAAACUGCUUUUGUAUGGGGAUAAAGUCAAUCACGUGUGAUUGUUUGCAGGUACCAUACGAAUAAGGACCGGCUAAUUCCGUGCCAGCAGCCGCGGUAAUACGGAAGGUCCGGGCGUUAUCCGGAUUUAUUGGGUUUAAAGGGAGCGUAGGCUGGAGAUUAAGUGUGUUGUGAAAUGUAGACGCUCAACGUCUGACUUGCAGCGCAUACUGGUUUCCUUGAGUACGCACAACGUUGGCGGAAUUCGUCGUGUAGCGGUGAAAUGCUUAGAUAUGACGAAGAACUCCGAUUGCGAAGGCAGCUGACGGGAGCGCAACAGACGCUGAAGCUCGAAGGUGCGGGUAUCGAACAGGAUUAGAUACCCUGGUAGUCCGCACAGUAAACGAUGGAUGCCCGCUGUUGGUACGUGGUAUCAGCGGCUAAGCGAAAGCAUUAAGCAUCCCACCUGGGGAGUACGCCGGCAACGGUGAAACUCAAAGGAAUUGACGGGGGCCCGCACAAGCG
This 907-nucleotide ribosomal RNA is filed under the name uncultured bacterium. RNAcentral describes it as "bacterial SSU rRNA". It matches the Rfam family "Bacterial small subunit ribosomal RNA", at positions 33 to 931 of the family's 1533-position model. The record is from RNAcentral.